Molecule: ribosomal RNA, 687 nt
Filed under: uncultured bacterium
Lineage: Bacteria
Description: bacterial SSU rRNA
Rfam family: Bacterial small subunit ribosomal RNA
Source: RNAcentral
CAUGCAGUCGUACGAAGAGUUUUUACUCAAGUGGCGGACGGGUGAGUAACACGUAAGAAUUUGCCUCUAGGAGGGGGAUAACAACUGGAAACGGUUGCUAAUACCCCAUAUGCUUUCGAGUGAAAUGGAUUUCCGCCUAGAGAGAAGCUUGCGGCUGAUUAGCUUGUUGGUGAGGUAAUGGCUUACCAAGGCGACGAUCAGUAUCUGGUUUGAGAGGACGAUCAGACACACUGGAACUGAGACACGGUCCAGACUCCUACGGGAGGCAGCAGUGGGGAAUUUUCCGCAAUGGGCGAAAGCCUGACGGAGCAAUACCGCGUGAGGGAUGACGGCCUAUGGGUUGUAAACCUCUUUUUUCAGGGAGGAAUUAAUGACGUGUACCUGAAGAAUAAGCAUCGGCUAACUCCGUGCCAGCAGCCGCGGUAAGACGGAGGAUGCAAGUGUUAUCCGGAAUCACUGGGCGUAAAGCGUCUGUAGGUGGUUUAGUAAGUCAACUGUUAAAUCUUGAGGCUCAACCUCAAAAUCGCAGUCGAAACUAUUAGACUAGAGUAUAGUAGGGGUAAAGGGAAUUUCCAGUGGAGCGGUGAAAUGUGUAGAGAUUGGAAGGAACACCGAUGGCGAAGGCACUUUACUGGGCUAUUACUAACACUCAGAGACGAAAGCUAGGGUAGCAAAUGGGAUUAGAUA